Long non-coding RNA from Gadus macrocephalus (Pacific cod), 516 nucleotides. RefSeq lists it as uncharacterized. Lineage: Eukaryota; Metazoa; Chordata; Actinopteri; Gadiformes; Gadidae. The transcript is spliced from 3 exons. The record is from RefSeq and is a predicted model, not a curated record.
UUGGAGAAAGAACUGAUUGUCAAAGAGGAAAUCAUUUCUCGUGAAGUUUAUCUCCAGCAAGCGAAGAAGUUCGUCGUCAGGGCGCGUGACGUCAGGACGCAGGUUAAAAGCAUCACGCACGGCGCGCAUGCCCCCAGCAAUGUCUAUAUUAGUGUACAGACUGCCAACGUCCAUAGUGAAUAAGAAAGCGUGCGCAGGGAUCCGAAGAGCACGGACCUUGGUGACGAAAUCAUAAGUGUCUUUUACGUAGCUCGCGUGUGAGAUAGAAAGAGGGUAAAGAUAGUGAUCCAGGUACUCAGCCGUAUGCCGAAAGCCAGGACCAGUUUGCGGACCUUGGGGUUGAUGGUGGUCUUGGCCAUCACCGCGGAGGCAUGACGGAACGACGCACCAGGAUAACCAUCGAUCUGGAGACCAGGUCACCAGCAGGUGGAGCCCGGAGGAUCGUGGUGUCUGCACCAAGCGGAGCCGCCAGCAGGGGCUGCUAAGUCACCUUAAACCGGGUGGUGUUAAAGGGGU